GGAUUCCUUAUUCAAAAAUUAUAAAGAAUUUCAAGACGGCUACAGUAGAGCUUUAAACUAUGUGUCGGGGUCCUUCUAAAUGCAGGGCCCUGUGAGACUGCACAGAUCACACACCUGUGAAGUCAGCCCUAUAUAUGCAUAUGUAAGUGUGUAUGUGUGUGUUGUCGAGGACAUGUGUGCUUCUUCUUGGAGGAAUGCAUAAAGAUACCAUUGUCUUUUAUUCUUCCACCUCAAUUUUAGAGACUAGAUAAAUCUGCAUAUGAGGGCCUGGCCCCUUUUUAGUACUUUUCAGCCUCGGAUAGUGGUGGAAAACAUGUGAAUCCUAGUUCAAAUUUCCUCUCACUCUUUGUAGGGUUGUGAGCCCAUUAUGUAUUUUUUCUGUGCCUCAUCUUUUCAACUCGAAAAUGGGGACAUAAGGUACACUUAGUCAUGGAGUUAUUAAGGAGAUUAAAAUAAAUCCGUUAAUAUUAGUGAAGUGCCUGGAGUAAGCCUUCCCAUAGCUCUAUGUAAGCAGCUGUUAAAGUAAAAAUUUUGAAGCCUUUAUUAUGUGAGAACUUAAACUUAAACCUCCUCCCAUGUUAAGUAAGGACCAGGGAACUAUUAAGCUUCCCCCUAAGGGAACCAUUUACGACCACAGCCCUUUCUGGGUCAGGAAGGGCAUGUUGAUUUGAAAGUCCCCUAACGUGUUAAUGGAUGCUAACAAAAGACUUCCUAUUCAGGAAGCAAAGGACACCUGGGGCUGACCACCCUCACUCUUCACUGAUGUUUCCUGCUUUUGUUAAAUAUAAAGUAAAUAAAUCAAAAUAAACAAAAAGAAAGCCAAUAACAACAACUACCAAACAUCAGUAUAUCCUUUUAGUUGCUAUGGCUCCUUAAAGGACUGGAGAAUUGUCUGGAAGCAAAAUCAGUUGACUCCUAAACUCUUAAGAGAUUUUAUUGCUAUUAUGGUGCAGAAGAAGUGCUAAAGAGCCAUAUCACCUAGCUCAACAGCGUGGAAAUUGGAAACGCUGUCUUGUAAUGUCUGGAUAGGGAAGACAAGAGUCUAUGACCUGAAAGAGAGGGGGACAGAGAAUAUAUUUCCAUUUGCCAAUUACAGACACAUGUCCAGUGCAGAUGAUUGUCUUUAUGUUUUCUAACUUGGACCAUCAAACAUCCUUUCAUUCCACAGUCUUCCUCAGAUUAGCAUCUGGUGUCCUUGUUUUGCAUCCUCUCUUCACCUUGCCUUGAGUCUUCAAAGCCAACUUUAAAUGGACUGUUUUUCCUUAGCCUUCCCCUUAAUCAUAAUAAUUAAAAAGUCCAUGAAAUUAUGGUUUUGAUAACUUUUUUCUAAAAAUCAUACUAAAACAAAUAUAUAACUAUUUAAUUUUUUAAAAGUUUGUCCACAUCUCUCCUACAAUCUCUUGAACUACCAGGGUUCUGAUCUAAGAGAAGCUAGAAUCUACAGAUGUUAACACAACUCCAUGGAGGCCUGAAGCAAGAAGCUUCAUAGGGUGUGAAGGGGCAGGUGGGCCAGGCAGCAGGUGAAGGCCAUGCUCUAGAAGUGAGAUGCUGGGCAGGUCUCUCCUUUCUCCAUGCAUAAAGCAGAUGGGGAAAUGAUGGGGUGAGAAUUCACUUAGGGCUACGAAUUGCUGGGAGGUGUUUUGGGUAGCAACGAAAAACAAGUAACAGCAACAAAGAAGGCUGGACAAAAUCAUGUAUACUAUCGAACUGAAAUCUCAGCAGCAAUAACUUGAGGACCCAGGAAACUGCCAAGUCCUCAAAAGCCUUGACUUUCAGAGCUCUUGCCGGAGUAGCAAUAGGAGUGGUGGGAAAUCAAGAAAGUCAGACAUUCCAGAGUGUCCUAAAAAGAGUGUCAUCAAAAGCAUCUGAGCAUGGGAUCGAUGCUGGGCUAAAGGACUACGGAAUCCACAAGGAGCUGAAGGACGGGAGAAGCAGGAGGGCCUAUGGGUCAGUAUGGGCUGAGGAAGGUGUUCAGUGAGUAUAGGUGUGUGAGAAGAUCAAACAGACAAAGUAACAGACACACGCACACACAGAGCCAUACAGAGACACACACCUUUCUUUCUAAGAUUUUUUUUUAAGUCUAUAGAACUUUGAAUUGAUUUGACAUCCCCUCUUUAAAUAAGAGGGGACAUUCCCUCUUUUGAUAUAAGCUCUGAAAUGCAUAAGAAAUUCCUUGUAAAAAUUUACAGUCUUUUUGAAUGGAUGUUUUUUAAUAUUUUCAAUUACAGAUUUAUGGCAGAAUUUUUCAUAGGCCUGAAUUGUCUGUUUAAUAUUAAAAUGAUUUUUGUAGGGAGCCAUCUGUUAUAUGAUCAGGCAUGGAAAUUCUUUACAGGGCUUUCCAUCAGCACUCCUCCAGUGUUUGUCAUGCUUCAAAUAUCCCCAGGCACUUGUGUUUCCAUUUAGAGGAGCAAGGUAAAGGACUCAGAGGCAGGACAUGAUGUCUCCUCGAUUGUUCAGCAGCUGUUACUGAAAACACUGUGUUCGGCAUAUGUUUUUUCCCCAACCUAAGCUCAAUGUUUUCCUUUACUAUGACAAAACAAUAUCCUGAGAAAAAGGACAGUUUAUUAAUCUUUGAAUCUCGUAUCAGAACAAACUUUGCUCAUUGCACUAAUCAACUCACGUUUUUCUUCAAAGCUGUUUUAUCCUCUAAAAAUGGUAAAACUUCGGCUCAUUUUCCCCAUGAGUACUAUUCCCCUGAGUGCAAUUUCAUCGGAGCUAACUCUAUUUUACCAAGUAGAUUUCAUCUCAAGUGCUCCCUUUGAAUCACUGGGCUGGGAGCUGCCUGAAAAAGAAUGUGGGAAGGAUUUCGAGGGUGAGCUCAGGGUCAGUGGAGAGUACUACAAUUGAUUACUUAUGUCUGCUUUGGGUGUAGAAGUAGUGAGCAUGAGACACAUGUGCCCUUUAUUUGCUGUCUCUGGCCUUUACAGUUUCUAUGUCCCUCAAUUACUGUGCUCAUUAAUAAGCAUUGUGAAAUGGCUGGCCUUGAGGCAAACAUACACAAAAAAAAUCAACCUCUCUAUCUGGGAAACAAGCUUGACCCUGACAUCACAAUAACGUUAACAACAACAAUAAUAGCAGCUACAUUUGUUGAACAUUUGCUGUAAGCCCCACUGUAGGUAAUUUACUAACAUUAAAUCAUUUCAUUUAUUCCCCACAAACUACCACAAUAUACAUAUUAUUCACCCAGAUUUUUGACUAAGUCUCAAAAAAUGAAGUAACUUUACUGAGUUCACCCUUUUGCUCAACACAUCCGCACAAAUUCGUAUUGUUCUGGAUACCUAGAACCAUCACUCCCUUCCAUAACCACUCAGUCAUUUUCCUCCUUACAUUCAAAUCCUAGCAGUCUCUCCCUCUAUACAUAGCUCCUCAUCCUGGAAGACUCCUUGAUAAAGCAGAGAGAAAGACUAGCUUCAGAUCAGCUAAGUUGGACAUUCUCUGAGCCAUGACGCGCUCUUCUCUGUAGCUAUAUUAUUUCACAUGACCCAUUCUUAAUAAUUCAGCCUAACCAUCUGUUUGUUCAAUUCCAUUUAAGAAUUUUUCUUUGUAAUGGUUUUGUCAAUUGUCUGCAUUUUGAAUUUAAUUAAAUUGUUAUAUAUCUCAAUUAGGUAGUCAAUUCAAAACACUUAGUGGAUCCAAUCUGAGCUUUUCAAUAGCUGGUCAAAAUAAAUAAUCAAUGCCAUUCACCUAAUGGUCCUUCCAUGAAAAUUAGCUGUGACCUUAGUGGUAAAAAUAUGGUAAAAUGAUUUAUGGUCAUAUCCCUCUAUAUAAGAGAGAAGCAGACAAUCAUAAUUUUUAAGAGGUGUCUGUGUCCAGUUCCCUGGUGUAGUUCUUAAUGCCAAGAGAGCCAAAAGCCCCCUGUUGAUCACUGGCUUUAAAAUUCUCCAUUAUAGGUGUGAGUUAGCCAAUCGUAUCGUCCCAUCUCAUUUGCCUGGUGAUGUAUAGACUUGACUUUAGUUCCCAUUUACACCUUGCAGAAACCAAUAAUAGUUCUCUUCCUCUUGAAAAAAAAUAAACAGAAAUAUCAAAAGGAAAUACCUUUAUAGGGUGGAGACAGGACUGGAUGAGUUGUGUAUCACUGUUUACAUCCAAAUCAAAUAACGGGAAAGAAAACAAUUAGUCAAGUUCAUACUCUAGGUUCUGUUUAAUGUGUCUGUUUUCAAGCCUGUUCAAGCUAUUUUGCCUGAGCAAAGCUUUUGUUUGCCUUCUUAAGGUUUACUUUGCUUUGAGACCUUAGCGCAUGAACUGGUUUGGCAAACUUGUCUCUCUGAGGCAAAACUUGAAAAGCGAGACAUUCAAACACUUGUAAAAUGUAGAUUUUUGCUUUUACUAAAGUCCAUUCCAGGUCUAAUCUAGGUUCACUCUCUUUUACCCAACAGUUCCCUGGGCAGAAAUGUGAUCCUAGCCCAUUCACAAUCUGACUCUUCCGUUUCCCAGGAUGCACAUUAUCUAAUGUUUGAGCUUCAAUGCUGAUUUACCAUUACCAGAACUCUUGCUGCUGCUCGCUCUUUGGGUCCACGCUGCCUUUAGGAGCUGUAACACUCACGGCGAAGGUCCGCAGCUUCACUCCUGAGCCAGCGAGACCACGAGCCCACCGGGAGGAAAGAACAACUCCAGACGCGCCGCCUUAAGAGCUGUAACACUCACCGUGAAGGUCCGCAGCUUCACUCCUGAGCCGGCGAGACCACGAACCCACCAGAAGGAAGAAACUCCAAAGACGUUCAAACAUCAGAAGGAACAAACUCCGGACACGCCACCUUUAAGAACUGUAACACUCACCGCGAGGGUCCAUGGCUUCAUUCUUGAAGUCAGUGAGAUCAAGAACACACCAAUUCUGGACCCAGUAUCUCCCCAUACCCUAACUCCUUUCCCAAAGUAGGCAGAAAAACAGCCCUGUUGUUCCGGUGGAAGCCUUAGCUCUGUAUUCCUUUUAGACUGUAUUUCAAAACGCAUUAUUAGAGCCCCAAAGUCACCUGGUGAAAGAAUGUGAGAGCUGGAAGUGGCCUCAAAAUCCAGUUGAACCCUCUUAUUUCAUAUGUUUGGAAACUGAGCACUAGAAAAGGUAAGUACUGCUUCAAGUCAAUUGCUGACAAAAUGGAUCUAGUCUAUUUCUAUUGCAUGGUGCCUGUUUCCAAAUAAGAUGUGGAGAAAUCUUAACAAUACAAAAUACAUAAGGUAAUACCACAGAAAAAGGCAAACGAGACUAUGGAAUGAGGAGGGAGUCAACUAUGACAGAUGGCACAGGUGGUAAAUUUAGCUCUGAACAUUCUUGAGAUAACCCAGGGCACAUGGUAGCAGUUAGGACUCCUCUCUCCAAAGGUUACUGGUCGUUUUCUUAUAGACUUGUCAGGAAUGCUAUAAAAAUACCAUGGGACACAUGGGGACCAUGGUUGUGUCAACAAAAGAAGAGGUUUACCAAGGCUUUUUUUUUUUUUUUUUUUUUCCUGAGAUCGAGUUUUGCUCUUGUUGCCCAGGCCAGAGUGUGCAAUCUCGGCUCACUGCAACCUCCACCUCCUGGGUUCAAGUGAUUCUCCUGCCUCAGCCUCCAGAGUAGCUGGGAUUACAGGCAUGCACCACCACACCCAGCUAAUUUUGUAUUUUUAGUAGAGAC
Molecule: long non-coding RNA, 5608 nt
Filed under: Homo sapiens (human)
Lineage: Eukaryota; Metazoa; Chordata; Mammalia; Primates; Hominidae
Description: HSALNT0146141
Source: RNAcentral